AUGCUGACGAGUCCCAAAUAGGACGAAACGCGCGUCCUGGAU
Schistosoma mansoni is the source of this 42-nucleotide non-coding RNA. The record is from Rfam. NCBI's taxonomy places the organism in Eukaryota, Metazoa, Platyhelminthes, Trematoda, Strigeidida, Schistosomatidae.